This 253-nucleotide ribosomal RNA is filed under the name uncultured bacterium. RNAcentral describes it as "partial 16S ribosomal RNA". It matches the Rfam family "Bacterial small subunit ribosomal RNA", at positions 524 to 776 of the family's 1533-position model. The record is from RNAcentral.
UACGAAGGGGGCUAGCGUUGUUCGGAAUUACUGGGCGUAAAGCGCGCGCAGGCGGUUUCUCAAGUCAGUGGUGAAAGCCCGGAGCCCAACUCCGGAACUGCCAUUGAAACUGUGAAACUUGAGGACGAGAGAGGUGAGUGGAAUUCCCAGUGUAGAGGUGAAAUUCGUAGAUAUUGGGAAGAACACCGGUGGCGAAGGCGGCUCACUGGCUCGUUUCUGACGCUCAGGCGCGACAGCGUGGGGAUCAAACAGG